Long non-coding RNA from Cydia pomonella (codling moth), 2922 nucleotides. RefSeq lists it as uncharacterized. The record is from RefSeq and is a predicted model, not a curated record. NCBI's taxonomy places the organism in Eukaryota, Metazoa, Arthropoda, Insecta, Lepidoptera, Tortricidae. The transcript has 2 exons.
AAAAAUACGAUGGUUAAUGCUGCUAAACUUGAGACUUUUGAUGGCUAAUAACACCACAAUAGUGUAGUUUCUUAAUGAUUUUCAGUAGUAAACGUAAUAAAAUCUAAUUAAAGUACAUAAUCCAAUUCCGGAAUUUUCGAUAAUCUGUGGUCGCCAUUCCGGAAUUGUAAUAUCGAAAAAUUGGUCCAAGAUUCCGGAAUUUCGAAAUUCAGGAAUCUCGGAUUGCAAGCCAUAUCGAAUACCCUAUUGUGGGUAUCUUACCAGCCAACCAUAGGGCAAAUCUGAAAUGUGUCAAGGUGGGUGCAAUGACAAAAAAAUCAUGUUACCUCCUUUUCUACAUAAUUAGGCGUAGGACGCUGUCUUUUUAAUUUCAUUGCAUGAAAUCCAAAAUCAACAAUAAUCGUUCUUUCACCGGUCUUCCUCAUUGAAGUCGUUUUUUUUUUCUUAAAAAAUAUUAUUAAAAACUCAAGCGUUUCGUGAGACAAAAGGCGUUUUAUUCCGUUAAGGAAUUCCUGAAAGGCUAAUGAAUGUUAAAUAGAAGGCUAGUAUUCUUUUUGACUACCUUAAUUAUUGAAUAUACUUUAGCCAAACGUAUUGGAACGGGGUGCAGUUAUUUUACUUUCAAUUUAAUUUGUAAAUUACGUAUCUAUGACAAUGUAUGGUCAAGACAAGUAAAGAAUAUGAAUAUAAUAUUCAACAUGUGUCACGUACCCAAUUUCCCAGUCUGACCUUAUAUGUACCUAUAUUAAAUUAUGUAGUAACAUCUGAUAUAGGUUGACAAGCUUCUGCAUUUCAUUCUGCACCGAAUUGGAAAGAGACAGAAUUUAAGAGUACCACAAAUCUUAUGAAUAUGGAAACACUCAUGCCACUGAAAUGUAGGUGCAAGUUACUUAGAGCUUGUUACUCCUUCCUGAAUUUAGUAACUGACGACAGGGACGCAGCAAUACGUAGAAGUGACAUGGGGGUAUAUUAUCUGCAUCGUGUCUUACGUAUAGCGGCGUCCCACUAGUUAGUUACUAAAAUUACUUAGCUUGUACCCGAUUAUAAAUACGUUAUUAAAAAAAGUUAGCCAUUGAGUCGUAAAAAAUCUUUGGCAUUUUUACUAUGGAAUGAAAUGGUUAACUGACAUAUUUCAUAGGCAACAUGUAAGAAUAAUUAAUGAAAAUUAACUGUGUCCUGUUCAUUUCGGCUCAAUAUGUAUUUUGGCCUGAGGGUGAUAAAGCGAGUUUUAAGGUUUUUGUCCCCACUUUAUCCGCAUUGCGCGGGUUGGCGUCGCUCGUAUGUUGACUUAAGACAAGAUUUUCUACCUGCUAUCUUUGGGUGAAGAUACCUUUGCAACCCGUUUUGCACAUAUUUUUUAUUGCUAGGAAUAUGUUUUGUGUGGCUACAUAGUAUCUGUCUAAUUUUAUGUCUAUCUGAUGAUUCCCUCAAAAAUAGUCCAUGAUAUAGUUAGCAAUUACACUUCUGGAUGUAAAAUUAUAUAAAUAAUUUCUCUGGGGAUACAAGUUUUUCUGAUCUCAGUUACAGUUAGCGAGCUAGUCUGAGCUUUUUUGCUGCUGUUUUCUUGCUAAUUGGUCAUUAACUACAAGCUACCUACUUAGAUUCUUCUAGUACUUAGCGAACUCGGCUGAGUCCACUUUGCUACCUACUUAUCUUCUCAGUGCGGCUUGAAUGUUCACCUAAGUCCCAACUACUUUAGCGUAGGGAGGUACUUUGCGAGAAUUGCGAGUUUUUUUCUUAUGUAAAGCUACUAAUAAUAAAAGAGAACGGGAUUUCUUCCCAGGUGUUGGCGAUUGCUUUUUUUGGUGAUUUGACAUUCCUACUGAAACCAAGUGUUAUAUAGUUCAAUAAUUUCAUUAAUAAUUAGGUACUUAAAACAUCGUAAGUAAAGAAAUAUGUAUAAGUAUAUAUCUCGCAGUAAGAUGGUGAAAGCGGUAUAUUCCUACGACUGUACUUUUAUCUAAUUAAUAUACCGCAAUAUACAUAUGGCGUUAAUAGCGAUAUUUAUAGCCGCGCUACAAAGCCUCAAUUAGCAAUUAAUCGUUUCUCUUAAUCUGUAAUUUUGAGAAUAUAAAUUAACUAAUUCAAGCUUGUAAAAUUUUAUCAAUAAGCGCCACUUGAACCAUCCCACUAACCCGGGGUUAAGCGGUUAAACCUGUAGUUACUAUGGUUAUUGGUUACCAGUACAAUUUGACACUGGGUUAACGGUUUAACCGGGUUAGUGGGAUGGUGUAAGUGUCCCUAAGGAAGAUAAACUGUAAGUAACUAGUUAUCUUACUGAGCAUAUGAAUUAUAUACCUUUUAAUAAAGGGACCAGUGGCGGAGCAUAAAAUAUCUAUACCCCUUGCAAUUGGUAAAACGAAUCGGAUAGGUACUUAGCCUAAAUUCUCUUUGAAGUGGGUACCCUAAGAUUUCCCAUCAGAUCUUAACAUAAUAUCAAUGGGACCAACUUAAAAAAAGCGGCCAAGUGCGAGUCGGACUCGCGCAUGAAGGGUUCCGUACCAUUUAAGACGUACGCACUGACCUAUCACACAUAGACAGUUAGUCCUCAUAAGGCUAAUCUGCCAAAAGUGAAGCCGAAACUCGAUCGAUGUGUGCGUGCGACGCUCGUGUCUUACGCUCAGCGACACACACAUAUAUACAAAAACGGGUUGCCAGAGUUCAUUUAUUCCCCUUAAAGUAGAUGGAUUUUAACCACAUCCUUAUACUUGGCUAUCAAUCAUUUGGGAGUGUGUAUGUAGAUAUUAAAUUUGUAGCAAAAGCUUUCAAGGUUUCUUUUAAGGACUUUGCAUUUCUGUACUUUGUGAAAUAAUGUUUAAAUAAAAAAACGUUUAUUUUUUUAUUUUACAAAUGUGCACAGAUAAUAGCUGGUAGAAUUGACUUUGGAAUAAUGAUUUUAAAUGAUAAAUAUUUAAUGACGAU